GGUCAAGUUAUUAAGGGUGCAGGGCGGAUGCCUUGGCACUAGGAGCCGAUGAAGGACGUGAUAAGCUGCGAUAAGCUUCGGGGAGUUGCACGUAAACUUUGAUCCGAAGAUUUCCGAAUGAGGAAACUCACUUAGAGUAAUGUCUAAGUAUCAUUAAGUGAAUACAUAGCUUAAUGAGGGGAACUCAGGGAACUGAAACAUCUAAGUACCUGAAGGAAGAGAAAGAAAUUCGAUUCCGUAAGUAGCGGCGAGCGAACGCGGAUUAGCCCAAACCAAUAAAGUUUUCUUUAUUGGGGUUGCGGACAUAUCAUAACGAAGAGGUAUCGUAAUUGAAGAGGUUUGGAAAGACCCACCACAGAAGGUAAUAGUCCU
RNAcentral lists this ribosomal RNA (372 nucleotides) under Clostridioides difficile. RNAcentral's name for it is "partial 23S ribosomal RNA". It matches the Rfam family "Bacterial large subunit ribosomal RNA", at positions 1 to 374 of the family's 2925-position model. Lineage: Bacteria; Bacillati; Bacillota; Clostridia; Peptostreptococcales; Peptostreptococcaceae. The record is from RNAcentral. RNAcentral also lists the same sequence under 1 other name.